GAUGAACGCUAGCUACAGGCUUAACACAUGCAAGUCGAGGGGAAACGAUAUUGGAAGCUUGCUUCCGAUAGGCGUCGACCGGCGCACGGGUGAGUAACGCGUAUCCAACCUGCCCAUCACUUGGGAAUAACCUUGCGAAAGUAAGACUAAUGCCCAAUGACAUUUAUAGAAGGCAUCCGAAAUGAAUUAAAGAUUUAUCGGUGAUGGAUGGGGAUGCGUCUGAUUAGCUUGUUGGCGGGGUAACGGCCCACCAAGGCGACGAUCAGUAGGGGUUCUGAGAGGAAGGUCCCCCACAUUGGAACUGAGACACGGUCCAAACUCCUACGGGAGGCAGCAGUGAGGAAUAUUGGUCAAUGGGCGAGAGCCUGAACCAGCCAAGUAGCGUGCAGGAAGACGGCCCUAUGGGUUGUAAACUGCUUUUAUAGGGGAAUAAAGUGAGCCACGUGUGGUUUUUUGCAUGUACCCUAUGAAUAAGGACCGGCUAAUUCCGUG
This 492-nucleotide ribosomal RNA is filed under the name uncultured bacterium. RNAcentral's name for it is "bacterial SSU rRNA". It matches the Rfam family "Bacterial small subunit ribosomal RNA", at positions 28 to 507 of the family's 1533-position model. The record is from RNAcentral.